RNAcentral lists this unclassified non-coding RNA (430 nucleotides) under Hevea brasiliensis (rubber tree). Lineage: Eukaryota; Viridiplantae; Streptophyta; Magnoliopsida; Malpighiales; Euphorbiaceae. The record is from RNAcentral.
CUUUGAUGGUGAUAAUACUAUUGAAAUAAACAAAACAAAGAAAAAGAUAAAAUGGCUAGCAAGCAAGCCCCAUGAACCCAAUUCCCAUGCUAGCUAAGCUAGCCCCAGCUUAUAGCUACCAUUCAACAAAAAUGAUCUGUACAUGCCCUUCUUCUACCAUUUAUUCUCUAUAUAUAGAUUCCCCUAACAUGCUAUUUUGUAACAGCCCAUCUAUGCCAGCUAUGCUCUCCUUUUUCUACAAACUUCUACUCUCUUCUCUGGAAGCUUUUGUGACCAUUGGGCCUUCCUCCACUCUUGCUCUUCUAAACUACCAUCUAAUGUAACCCAUAAGCUUCGAAGUCUGGGCUCAUUUCUUCCUUCUACAUUAUUCAUAUCAAAAAUACCAUCUUCCAUAUAAAAUUUAAACCCUAAGAAAUCAUCAAACAUCCAA